Oncorhynchus keta (chum salmon) is the source of this 1489-nucleotide long non-coding RNA. RefSeq lists it as uncharacterized. The transcript has 3 exons. NCBI's taxonomy places the organism in Eukaryota, Metazoa, Chordata, Actinopteri, Salmoniformes, Salmonidae. The record is from RefSeq and is a predicted model, not a curated record.
UACUAAAGGACACCAUUAAUAAGAAGAGACUUGGCUUGGGCCAAGAAACAUGAGUGGAAAUCUGUCAAUAUGUCAUCAUGAAGCUGGUUGAGAGAAUGCCAAGAGUGUGCAAAGGGUAGCUACUUUGAAAAAUCUAAAAUAAUAUAUUUUGUUUUAACACUUUUUUGGUUACUACAUGAUUCCAUAUGUGUUAUUUCAUAGUUUUGAUGUCUUUACAAAUUAUUCUACAAUGUAGAAAAACCCUUGAAUGAGUAGGUGUUCUAAAACCCUUGAAUGAGUAGGUGUUCUAAAACCCUUGAAUGAGUAGGUGUUCUAAAACCCUUGAAUGAGUAGGUGUUCUAAAACCCUUGAAUGAGUAGGUGUUCUAAAACCCUUGAAUGAGUAGGUGUUCUAAAACCCUGGAAUGAGUAGGUGUUCUAAAACCCUUGAAUGAGUAGGUGUUCUAAAACCAUUGAAUGAGUAGGUGUUCUAAAACCCUUGAAUGAGUAGGUGUUCUAAAACCCUUGAAUGAGUAGGUGUUCUAAAACCCUUGAAUGAGUAGGUGUUCUAAAACCCUUGAAUGAGUAGGUGUUCUAAAACCCUUGAAUGAGUAGGUGUUCUAAAACCCUUGAAUGAGUAGGUGUUCUAAAACCCUUGAAUGAGUAGGUGUUCUAAAACCCUUGAAUGAGUAGGUGUUCUAAAACCCUUGAAUGAGUAGGUGUUCUAAAACCCUUGAAUGAGUAGGUGUUCUAAAACCCUUGAAUGAGUAGGUGUUCUAAAACCCUGGAAUGAGUAGGUGUUCUAAAACCCUUGAAUGAGUAGGUGUUCUAAAACCCUUGAAUGAGUAGGUGUUCUAAAACCCUUGAAUGAGUAGGUGUUCUAAAACCAUUGAAUGAGUAGGUGUUCUAAAACCCUUGAAUGAGUAGGUGUUCUAAAACCCUUGAAUGAGUAGGUGUUCUAAAACCCUUGAAUGAGUAGGUGUUCUAAAACCAUUGAAUGAGUAGGUGUUCUAAAACCAUUGAAUGAGUAGGUGUUCUAAAACCCUUGAAUGAGUAGGUGUUCUAAAACCCUUGAAUGAGUAGGUGUUCUAAAACCCUUGAAUGAGUAGGUGUUCUAAAACCCUUGAAUGAGUAGGUGUUCUAAAACCCUUGAAUGAGUAGGUGCUCUAAAACCCUUGAAUGAGUAGGUGUUCUAAAACCCUUGAAUGAGUAGGUGUUCUAAAACCCUUGAAUGAGUAGGUGUUCUAAAACCCUUGAAUGAGUAGGUGUUCUAAAACCCUUGAAUGAGUAGGUGUUCUAAAACCCUUGAAUGAGUAGGUGUUCUAAAAACCUUGAAUGAGUAGGUGUUCUAAAACCCUUGAAUGAGUAGGUGUUCUAAAACCCUUGAAUGAGUAGGUGUUCUAAAACCCUUGAAUGAGUAGGUGUUCUAAAACCCUUGAAUGAGUAGGUGUUCUAAAACCCUUGAAUGAGUAGGUGUUCUAAAACCCUUGAAUGAGUAGGUGUUCUAAAAC